This 45-nucleotide non-coding RNA is filed under the name Schistosoma margrebowiei. Lineage: Eukaryota; Metazoa; Platyhelminthes; Trematoda; Strigeidida; Schistosomatidae. The record is from RNAcentral.
AUUCAACUGACGAGUCCUAAAUAGGAUGAAACGUGCGUCCUGGAU